RNAcentral lists this ribosomal RNA (939 nucleotides) under Escherichia coli. RNAcentral's name for it is "partial 23S ribosomal RNA". It matches the Rfam family "Bacterial large subunit ribosomal RNA", at positions 305 to 1251 of the family's 2925-position model. The record is from RNAcentral. Lineage: Bacteria; Pseudomonadati; Pseudomonadota; Gammaproteobacteria; Enterobacterales; Enterobacteriaceae.
AGAGCCUGAAUCAGUGUGUGUGUUAGUGGAAGCGUCUGGAAAGGCGCGCGAUACAGGGUGACAGCCCCGUACACAAAAAUGCACAUACUGUGAGCUCGAUGAGUAGGGCGGGACACGUGGUAUCCUGUCUGAAUAUGGGGGGACCAUCCUCCAAGGCUAAAUACUCCUGACUGACCGAUAGUGAACCAGUACCGUGAGGGAAAGGCGAAAAGAACCCCGGCGAGGGGAGUGAAAAAGAACCUGAAACCGUGUACGUACAAGCAGUGGGAGCCUCUUAAUGGGGUGACUGCGUACCUUUUGUAUAAUGGGUCAGCGACUUAUAUUCUGUAGCAAGGUUAACCGAAUAGGGGAGCCGAAGGGAAACCGAGUCUUAACUGGGCGUUAAGUUGCAGGGUAUAGACCCGAAACCCGGUGAUCUAGCCAUGGGCAGGUUGAAGGUUGGGUAACACUAACUGGAGGACCGAACCGACUAAUGUUGAAAAAUUAGCGGAUGACUUGUGGCUGGGGGUGAAAGGCCAAUCAAACCGGGAGAUAGCUGGUUCUCCCCGAAAGCUAUUUAGGUAGCGCCUCGUGAAUUCAUCUCCGGGGGUAGAGCACUGUUUCGGCAAGGGGGUCAUCCCGACUUACCAACCCGAUGCAAACUGCGAAUACCGGAGAAUGUUAUCACGGGAGACACACGGCGGGUGCUAACGUCCGUCGUGAAGAGGGAAACAACCCAGACCGCCAGCUAAGGUCCCAAAGUCAUGGUUAAGUGGGAAACGAUGUGGGAAGGCCCAGACAGCCAGGAUGUUGGCUUAGAAGCAGCCAUCAUUUAAAGAAAGCGUAAUAGCUCACUGGUCGAGUCGGCCUGCGCGGAAGAUGUAACGGGGCUAAACCAUGCACCGAAGCUGCGGCAGCGACACUAUGUGUUGUUGGGUAGGGGAGCGUUCUGUAAGCCUG